UAUAUAUUCAUGAGGGUUGCGUUCCCUCUCUCUCACCCUCGCCUGGGUCCCAAUGAGUUCAUCGUUAAACGAAUCCAAAAACAUCGGGGAAAUGAGACUGCUCAGACGGGCUAUUGUUGGGAGAAUGAAGUCUGUAUUGAUGAUUGGCAAGAUGUGCAUUGCUGGAGCUGCAGCUGGACCCUGAAGAGCUUUACUAGACCUUCCAGCGCAUUGUUUGAGAACGUCAACGUGAUCAUCUAUACCCCUUGGUAAGGAUGAGAAUGGACCUAUGGGCUUCAUUAUGGUACACGGUCUACUUAAUAUCCUGCUCCUAGACCAAUGCAGUCAUUGGUACUGUUGACUAUGGAUCUGGACUGCAUGAACUUUUUUACUUUGAAGCAGUUGGUGGAGAUGUAUGUAAUGAAGUUUGCUGCCAAAGGUGAAGCCCAGCUGGAACCAGCUGGGCGGUGCAAGAAGUUGGAGGACAUGAUGAAGCUUUGGGGAGACCGGUAAUCUGACCCUUCUGCCACUUCACCAGAUGGCUAAAUAAUUCCCAGGACUUUAGCCCAAUUGAUCCUGGACCCUAUCUUUAAUAUAUUUGAUGCCAUCAUGAACUUCAUUGGCAGAUCCUGCCUGGAGACCCCAUGGAAGCCAAUUCCAAGCCUGCCCAGAUGGUGGCUGACACACAAAAGCGCAAGGGACUCGAAGGCAUUCUAGCUUUAGACAACUACUUGGACAAAUUGUAGAUUUACACUAGAGGCAUGACCAUAGUUUUUAGGUGGUCUUGUUGUCUGCAUUACAGACCAACAGGCAAAUGGUGGCUUUUCUCACCUCCUAGUGGGAUUUAUAAAUUUAGUCAAAUGAGUUGCACAAUUUAUGUACUGUGGUAUGUGGAUAUUCUGUGCUUGCUGUGAUAUCAUUAAAAGAUAAUAACAGUCUACCUCAAUGUAAAAUAUUUCUGGAAGACUGGUGUUUUUGUAAGCCUGAAAUACAAGUCUUAAUCAGCAA
Long non-coding RNA from Carassius auratus (goldfish), 987 nucleotides. RefSeq lists it as uncharacterized. The record is from RefSeq and is a predicted model, not a curated record. The transcript has 5 exons. NCBI's taxonomy places the organism in Eukaryota, Metazoa, Chordata, Actinopteri, Cypriniformes, Cyprinidae.